Molecule: ribosomal RNA, 253 nt
Filed under: uncultured bacterium
Lineage: Bacteria
Description: partial 16S ribosomal RNA
Rfam family: Bacterial small subunit ribosomal RNA
Source: RNAcentral
UACAGAGGUGGCAAGCGUUGUUCGGAUUUACUGGGCGUAAAGGGCGCGUAGGCGGCGCAACAAGUCACUUGUGAAAUCUCCGGGCUUAACCCGGAGCGGCCAAGUGAUACUGUCGUGCUAGAGUGCGGAAGGGGCUACUGGAAUUCUCGGUGUAGCGGUGAAAUGCGUAGAUAUCGAGAGGAACACCUGCGGCGAAGGCGGGUAGCUGGGCCGACACUGACGCUGAGGCGCGAAAGCCAGGGGAGCGAACGGG